RNAcentral lists this ribosomal RNA (468 nucleotides) under uncultured bacterium. RNAcentral's name for it is "partial 16S ribosomal RNA". It matches the Rfam family "Bacterial small subunit ribosomal RNA", at positions 28 to 507 of the family's 1533-position model. The record is from RNAcentral.
GACGAACGCUGGCGGCGUGCUUAACACAUGCAAGUCGAACGGAAAGGCCCUGCCUUUGUGGGGUGCUCGAGUGGCGAACGGGUGAGUAACACGUGAGUAACCUGCCCUUGACUUUGGGAUAACUUCAGGAAACUGGGGCUAAUACCGGAUAGGAGCUCCUGCUGCAUGGUGGGGGUUGGAAAGUUUCGGCGGUUGGGGAUGGACACGCGGCUUAUCAGCUUGUUGGUGGGGUAGUGGCUUACCAAGGCUUUGACGGGUAGCCGGCCUGAGAGGGUGACCGGCCACAUUGCGACUGAGAUACGGCCCAGACUCCAACGGGAGGCAGCAGUGGAGAGUAUUGCACAAUGGGCGGAAGCCUGAUGCAGCAACGCCGCGUGCGGGAUGACGGCCUUCGGGUUGUAAACCGCUUUCGCCUGUGACGAAGCGUGAGUGACGGUAAUGGGUAAAGAAGCACCGGCUAACUACGUG